Long non-coding RNA from Bubalus bubalis (water buffalo), 999 nucleotides. RefSeq lists it as uncharacterized. The record is from RefSeq and is a predicted model, not a curated record. Lineage: Eukaryota; Metazoa; Chordata; Mammalia; Artiodactyla; Bovidae. The transcript is spliced from 3 exons.
UCUGAAUGAGGUGGGGGAAAGGGGCAAGGAUUGCAGGCGGAGAGGGACAGGAUUUGACUCUCGGCUUCUGUGUUGGGAAGGGAGGCAGAGGACAGACACCACGCGUGCCUGGCACAGAGUAAACCCUUGGCGGCUGAGGUAGUCAGUGACACACCCCAUCCUUGGAGACCUCAGAGAGGCAUCUUUAUGGCUACCGUGUUCCACAGCCUUCUUUGUCUCAUCCUAUCGCAAAGAAACCAAUGCACAGAGAAGUUGAGGACACUGGGGUGCAGACAGCAGAAAUGACUUGCCUAACACCAAGGCCGGAGAGUGGCAGAGCAGAGGACCUACCUGUCUGCUGGACAUCAAGUCUGCCCCCCAGCUUCCAUCUGUCCACGCCCCCCCCGACCCCCCAACUUUCCCUGCAAGGGUUUGGAGCAGGGAGAAGGCAUCUGAAUCCUGAUUCUGUCUCCCUCCCUGAGGCCUCGCAUUCUGAUUCAGCCUCUCUUGGCCAAACCAGGAGGACCAACGAGUAAAUACCUAGUUUAUCACCUCAGUAAAUGCCAGCGGCAGUGCUGGGCCCUGGGGCUGGAGAAUCAUGGGAGUGGGAGUGGGGCACGGUGCCACGGCUCUGUGCUGGCGUUCCCUGAGUCAUCGGGCCCAGACACAAAGGGACCGCCGGCCCUGGCCACCCCGCUGUCAGAUGAGACGCUUCCUUCUGCUCUAAUGAGGGGUGUGCUCCGCGGAGGCCAGAGGCAGCCCCACUUGCUGGCUCUGGUCUCACCAGGCACUAAUGAGGCAUUUUGGAGCUUUGAGGUCAUAGGGACCCAGGGCCAGGGGGAGGGAUGAUAAGCUGGUAGGGGGGCUCAUCCUGGCUAGGGCAAGCAUCCUGACCCCCACAGAGGCAAUCACAGGGCACCAUCCUGGCAGACUUUGCAAAGGCAAGACAUGAUCAUUUAUCGUAAUAUCCGACCCACGCUCCUCAGAUUCCCAAACCAAUGGUUGUUGACCUUCUGGGAU